This is a non-coding RNA of Callorhinus ursinus (northern fur seal), 2384 nucleotides long. The record is from RefSeq and is a predicted model, not a curated record. NCBI's taxonomy places the organism in Eukaryota, Metazoa, Chordata, Mammalia, Carnivora, Otariidae.
AUGCCGACGCCAGGGGGCGCUGGUGGCCGGGCUGUCUUGGAGCGGGAGGACGCAGGCUCUGGCCUCGGAGCACGCUGCCAACCUGGCUUGUCACAAGAGGGGAGUCCCGAAAGGAACCUGUGGAACAACCGGCCUAGGGGCUUCGGCCGUCGGGCGACGUGGGCGGAGGGAAAGCUUUCCCAGCUGCGUCUCUUCCUGGUUGCAUCUCCGCUGCCCUUCGCUGCUGGGUCGACGCACUGGCGCUCAGUAAGGGGAGGAGGACGGACCAAUCUGACCAUCACCGUGCCUGCCGACCUGCUCGGUUUCAACUCUUUGUAGGCCCCUCCAGUGGGCAAGCCAUGGUUCUUCUUAGAGUCAUUUGAAGUACCAGAGAGAAGAUUUUUUUCCACAAACAGGCAGUUCAGAUGCUCCACAUGAGGUGCUCUUUGACAAGAGACCAUCAGGGCUGGUGAUGCUGGUGUGCAGCCUUUCAGAUGUGCGGGAGGAUAAAAGGCCCUGCCCUAAGUCCCUGGAGUGCCUCCACGCGCCAUGCAGAGUAUCUCGGCCCCUCCACACCUGAGCAGACCUGGAAAUGGAAGAGGGGAAAAGAAGAAGACAUUUGCCAGCAGUCUUUUUGGGCUCCUUAGCUUCAAACAUUCUUCUGACACCUGCCCACAGUAGACUGGCUCAUGGCGUUUAGUGUUGCUGGGUGGCCCCAGAACCCCACAGCUGUGGCAGUUCUUGCUGUUCUUCUAGUGGCUUCACAGUCCCACUGUGAGGUUCCCUUGGCACUGCAGAAUCUCUGUCCCCCCACUGCCCUUGCCUGGUGUAGAGAGGGUUUCACCCUUCCCAAUGCUGUGUGACAGCCUCUGUUGCAUCUUUGGGCAUGUGGAAGUGAAUUUGUCUUACUGUCCUGUAGAAGUAAAUGAAAAUACUCACUUUGCAUAAAUUAAUACACGGAAUAGGGCCGGCCUCCACCUUUCUGGUUUCUGGAGGGUGAAAACUGUAAGGCCUGACAGUCUCAGAUCCAGAAGCCUCUUCACCUCUGGACUGAACACUUGAAACCAAAACAUGUCCUUUUGCCGAUGCUCAUUUGAGUCCAUUUUUUAACACAGAUGACAAGAUCCUGACUAGUGCAGAAAUUGGUCUUGCCAAUGGGGUAUCGCUGCAGACUCUAAAAUCAAACAAUGACGGGGUUGGGUGGCCCUUCAGAGCGGAUUGUUCUUUCCUGGCUGGAAACUUGACAAUUCUCACAUACUAGAUAUUUUUCCUUCUGCCCUUUCAGGCCCAUCUGUCAUGAGGGAGGCUGGAGGAAGCCCCUGGGAAGAUGUGUAGGGGUGAAUGGGAUCCGGAUGGCGCCUCUGGUAGAGCAGGGAGCUGGAGGGAGAGCUGAUAGAAUAGACGGGUGGGACAGUUCUCAUCUCCCUUCUCUGUGAGAUAAUAAGCGAGAUUAUCUUCUGGGUGUCAAGGAGGCACAGGUGGAUGGCAGGUUUAAGAGAAGUGAUAACAAUCUGGGAGGGCUCUAGAAAAGGAUGGGAGAGUGACAGGAAACAAGUACUCAAUUUGGAGACUGGUGGAGAGGGGGCUCCACCAAUCCUAGGGGCUCCACCAAUCCUAGGAGCCCAACCCUGAUGCGGCAUCAAUCUGAGGGAGGGCUGGCUGGCUGUGUGUGGCUCUCUGAAUGCUGAGCAGCUCUGUGGGGGCAGAGCUGGGCCAGGGGGCUUGCAGGCUGAUGGACAGGCAGGGAAGUGUGGGCACAGUGGAAGACAGGGUGCUGAGGAGCUCAUGCUCUGGUUGACAUCUUAUUGGAGUCCACCCUCCUUUGCAUGGCAAACUGCAGUCAGGUGAGGUAGCACCUCUUCCCACAGUAGCCCAAAUUCCCAGAAACAGCAACUGAGAAGAUAGGAGUACACCUGAGGCACAGCGGGGAAUGUGCCAUGACCAUUCUUGUCUGGCUUUAUAGGCUCCAUGAGAAAUUGUCCAUAGGAACAAUGUCCAUUAUGAAGGUUCCAUUUCAAAGCCUGACUUGUAAAGGCCAUCUUAAAACAGCCUUUAGGUUUUAGGUGGUGAGAGAGGACAGCAUGUUCUCUCCCAUUGCCACCUGAUCAGUCAAAUGUCAGCAGAACUGAGCCUCUGCUAGCAAAACAGUAUUUCCUAUUCCAAAGACAGCUCUUCCCAAGAGAUUAAAAAUUAGACCAAUAGUUGUCCACUAGAAAACUCCUGAACAUUCCUCAUCAUAAUUAUAGCAGGGAAUAGAAAACCCAGUUUAUAGAGUGUUUUAUGUUCACUCUUUGCCAUCUGUUACUUCCCGAGUCUUUACAAUAGCCCUGGGAGGUAAGCAGGCUCAUCCUACUAUUUCUUUUUUUUUUUUAAAGAUUUUAUUUAUUUAUUUGAGAGAGAGAAUG